RNAcentral lists this ribosomal RNA (497 nucleotides) under uncultured bacterium. RNAcentral's name for it is "partial 16S ribosomal RNA". It matches the Rfam family "Bacterial small subunit ribosomal RNA", at positions 28 to 507 of the family's 1533-position model. The record is from RNAcentral.
GACGAACGCUGGCGGCGUGCCUAAUACAUGCAAGUUGAGCGCUGGCGCAUUGUACUUGUACCCACUGGAUGAGCAGCGAACGGACGGGUAACGCGUGCGGCAUCUGCUUUUGUUUGGGGGGCAACAUCUGGAAACGAAUGCUAAUACUGCAUCAAACCUUUAACCACAAGUAUUAAGUUUUAUUGAUGCAUUUGCAUCACUCAUAGAUGAUUCUGCGUUGUAUUAGCUAGCUGGUGAGGUAAAGGCUCAACCAGGCGAAGAUACAUAGCCGACCUGAGAGGGUGGUCGGCCACAUUGGGACUGAGACAAGGCCCAAACCCCCACGGGGAGCAGGCGGAGGGAAACUUCGGACAUGGGGGAAAAUCCGACCCAGCAACGCCGGGGUAGUGGAGAAAGUUUUCGGAUCGGAAAACUCUGUUGGUAGGGAAGAACGUUGGUGAGAGUGGAAAGCUCAUCAAGUGACGGUAACUAACCAGAAAGCAACGGCUAACUACGUG